GAUGAACGCUAGCGAUAGGCUUAACACAUGCAAGUCGAGGGGCAGCAUGGUCUUAGCUUGCUAAGACUGAUGGCGACCGGCGCACGGGUGCGUAACGCGUAUGCAACUUGCCUCACAGAGGGGGAUAACCCGUCGAAAGACGGACUAAUACCGCGUACACUUGGGAUAGGGCAUCCUGACCCAAGGAAAUGAAAUUCGCUGUGAGAUAGGCGUGCGUCCCAUUAGCUAGUUGGUGAGGUAACGGCUCACCAAGGCGACGAUGGGUAGGGGAACUGAGAGGUUGAACCCCCACACUGGUACUGAGACACGGACCAGACUCCUACGGGAGGCAGCAGUGAGGAAUAUUGGUCAAUGGGCGAGAGCCUGAACCAGCCAAGUCGCGUGAAGGAUGACUGUCUUAUGGAUUGUAAACUUCUUUUAUACGGGAAUAACAAGAGCCACGUGUGGCUCCCUGCAUGUACCGUAUGAAUAAGCAUCGGCUAACUCCGUG
This 490-nucleotide ribosomal RNA is filed under the name uncultured bacterium. RNAcentral describes it as "partial 16S ribosomal RNA". It matches the Rfam family "Bacterial small subunit ribosomal RNA", at positions 28 to 507 of the family's 1533-position model. The record is from RNAcentral.